GCAGCCUCGAGUGCUGGAGAAAGCCACUUUGGCAUAUUAAUCACAGCAAAUGAAUGUGCCCUGCCGGCUCUCGCAUGGGGCACCUCGCUAAUACUGGGCUUGCACUACAGCUUUCGGAUUCAACCAGUGUUUUGAUUUCCUGACCCAACUUCCCUCCACAUGAAAAACAGCCAACAGACCAGCCACACCAGGUACCACCGCAAAACAUGCAGAAGCGGCAGGCAGCGAGAAAGAGCUGGAGCCAGCACCACAGGGCAGGAGCAAGCCGGAGGAGGUGCGACAGCAGCCAAUUGUGAGCCGGGAGAAAGUUGCAGCCACCGGGGCUGCGAUUCCUCUCUCGCUGCCGUGGCCGCCGCGCCAGCCCGGCAUCUCUGCUUCGCUUGCUUUCUUCCCUUUUUUCCACCCGCUCUUCUUCUUUCUUUUUUUUACACUUGGCUACGGAACAUUAGAUUUGACGAAGGGAAAGCGAUUUAACAUCUUUUAACUGAAGGAGGUUGAUUUUCAUUUGAGACCAAAUGGCUCAUUUUUACCUUUUUAGCUCCUGGAAGAGUAAAAAGUGAGAGGUCAGCCCUGCGUCACCAUGGCAACCCACACAGCUCGGGCCAGGAGCAGAUGAACGGAGCUCUUUACGCCGUGUGAUCACCAGGAAAUGAGGAAAGACCCAUGGGUACCAGGCCCUGGGUUAGGUGCUGUACCGUCUUAUUGCCUCUGAUCCUCGCAGUGGUCUCAUGAGCCACAGAAUCGAAUACGACAUUGCAUCCCUCCCGUUAGCUCAUUAGCAAUGAAGGAUCUGAUCUUUACAAGAAAAAUUGGGAAAUUUCACCACAGAUGGGAAUGCCUUGAUUGCUUGGUGAGGCUGUGACUGCACAGUCAGCAACAGGUGCUGUUGCUUUUGUAGAACCCUGUGCUUCAAAAGACAAGCUGAGACUCCGAAAUGAAAGUUAAUGACAAAUCCAGCCAGAGUGAACAGAUGGAGUGACAAGUGACAGCCCAUCUUAUAUAUAUGAAUGUUUGUGCUUCCCCAUCUGCGUGAGAUGUGUCCAUUGACUUGCUUUGACCAAUGGGGGAAGACACGUGUGUCUUCUUUGUGUAAAAGAACUGCUUUGUUCUCCACCACUUUCUUGCCCUUGCUACAGCAAUGGGAGACUCCCAAUGAUGGAGCCUUCAUCAGCCUGAGUCUCUGAGUGAGGAUUUUGUAGAGAAGAGCCCCUCACAAAUCUAAAGAUGGACGUGUCACAUAAGUGAGAAAUAAACCAUGGAUUUAAGUCA
Molecule: long non-coding RNA, 1269 nt
Filed under: Equus caballus (horse)
Lineage: Eukaryota; Metazoa; Chordata; Mammalia; Perissodactyla; Equidae
Description: lncRNA (ENSECAG00000047793.1)
Source: RNAcentral